RNAcentral lists this long non-coding RNA (784 nucleotides) under Equus caballus (horse). Its description in RNAcentral is "lncRNA (ENSECAG00000044693.1)". The record is from RNAcentral. Lineage: Eukaryota; Metazoa; Chordata; Mammalia; Perissodactyla; Equidae.
GAAAGCUAUCUGCUAGGAAUGCCGAGGCCCUCAUCUGGGCCCAGACGACUUGUGGCAGCCCCCACAGGCAUUUUCCUGAACAGAGCCAGUGUUGUGACUGGAUCAGCUCUCGUGGUUCUUAGGAUGAUUGCGAGAUGCGCCCCAGCAACCACCAUCAGAGAACUCGGAAUAACAAGAUUUGUUACUCACAGGUCCUGGAGGGUAUGUGGUGGGCCCAAGUGCCACGCAACAAGAUCUCAGGGAGAGAGAAAGAGAAAGACUGUGGGCCUGGGGCUCUGCCUUUAUGGGGGUCCAAGGGUGGAAGCCUAGGGUUUCACAGGUUCACUCUUUAUUUGCAAAUUUAAAACAUAAGUGUGAGAAUGAGGGUGUGGGAAGGGAAAACGGGUCACUCAAGCAGUCAGUUAUCUAGGAUACCCAGGAUUCUAAAAGGGGAAUUUCAAAGGUGGGGCAGCCUGGUUUCUUAUUGAGUUGUUUUACUAACAGCUGUGUCAUACAGCUGUCAAUGUGUGUAUUCGAGGUGAAUGGCCUUGCAAUGAUGCCUCAGCAAUGAAAAGCUUGAGGUCAGGAACGCAAUGUGAGACGCAACUGCAGGUGUCAGACAGACAGAACGAGGAGUUGGAAAACCAGAAGAGCAGAGGAGAUGCUGAGAAAGACAAGACUGCUAGCAGGUGUUCCAAGCACAGAGAGCGCAUUUGAAGGCUACUGCUUGGCUUUUGCUUAUGUGUGAACUGGGGGCCAGUUGUCUUACAAGAAUGGUAAAUAAAGGCAAGGAGUUUUUAACCAA